UACAGAGGUCCCGAGCGUUGUUCGGAUUCACUGGGCGUAAAGGGUGCGUAGGUGGUUGGGCAAGUCUGAUGUGAAAUCUCCGGGCUUAACCCGGAAAUGGCAUUGGAAACUGCCUGGCUAGAGUGUUGGAGGGGGGACUGGAAUUCUCGGUGUAGCAGUGAAAUGCGUAGAUAUCGAGAGGAACCCCAGUGGCGAAGGCGAGUCCCUGGACAACGACUGACACUGAGGCACGAAAGCUAGGGGAGCAAACAGG
Molecule: ribosomal RNA, 253 nt
Filed under: uncultured bacterium
Lineage: Bacteria
Description: partial 16S ribosomal RNA
Rfam family: Bacterial small subunit ribosomal RNA
Source: RNAcentral